CAAGCGUUAUCCGGAUUUAUUGGGUUUAAAGGGUGCGUAGGCGGUUUGAUAAGUUAGAGGUGAAAUUUCGGGGCUCAACCCUGAACGUGCCUCUAAUACUGUUGAGCUAGAGAGUAGUUGCGGUAGGCGGAAUGUAUGGUGUAGCGGUGAAAUGCUUAGAGAUCCUACAGAACCCCGAUUGCGAAGGCAGCUUACCAAACUAUAUCUGACGUUGAGGCACGAAAGCGUGGGGAG
RNAcentral lists this ribosomal RNA (234 nucleotides) under Lacisediminihabitans profunda. RNAcentral describes it as "Bacterial small subunit ribosomal RNA". It matches the Rfam family "Bacterial small subunit ribosomal RNA", at positions 535 to 768 of the family's 1533-position model. Lineage: Bacteria; Bacillati; Actinomycetota; Actinomycetes; Micrococcales; Microbacteriaceae. The record is from Rfam by way of RNAcentral.